AUUGAACGCUGGCGGCGUGCCUAACACAUGCAAGUCGAGCGGUAACAGGUGUAGCAAUACAUGCUGACGAGCGGCGGACGGGUGAGUAACGCUUGGGUGACCUGCCCUCGAGCGGGGGAUAACUGCCCGAAAGGGUGGCUAAUACCGCAGAUCUCCGUGCUUCGGUGUGCGGAGUGAACUUCCGGGGUUCGAGGAGGGGCCCGCGGCCGAUUAGCUAGCUGGNGGGGUAAUGGCCUACCAGGGCAUCGAUCGGUAGCUGGUCUGA
Molecule: ribosomal RNA, 265 nt
Filed under: uncultured bacterium
Lineage: Bacteria
Description: partial 16S ribosomal RNA
Rfam family: Bacterial small subunit ribosomal RNA
Source: RNAcentral